This 255-nucleotide long non-coding RNA is filed under the name Elaeis guineensis (African oil palm). RNAcentral's name for it is "long non-coding RNA (EGUI_LNC026356)". The record is from RNAcentral. Lineage: Eukaryota; Viridiplantae; Streptophyta; Magnoliopsida; Arecales; Arecaceae.
GGAUGUCCCCAGGCGCCGGAAAAGUAGUGGCCCCGGACGGGCCCGAGAGAAUCUCUCGCCCUUCCUCUCCACGUGGCGCUAAACUAUUGGUGGUAAAUUUUAGGUGUGGCAUAUAUUAUUUUUUGCCCCCUCAUCCCUGAGCAUUUCGGGUGUUACCCCUUUUGCAUAAUACCCCUGAUCCCUCCUUUUUAUUGCAAUUAUACCAUCAAACUGAUCUAACCGUCUAUUUUGAGUGGAUGCGAAUCGUGACGCGGA